Molecule: ribosomal RNA, 376 nt
Filed under: Fridericia cf. renatae PDW-2010
Lineage: Eukaryota; Metazoa; Annelida; Clitellata; Enchytraeida; Enchytraeidae
Description: partial 12S ribosomal RNA
Source: RNAcentral
UUAAGACCUAACAAUAUGCCGGAUAAUAAUAUCAACCGAUUAAAAUUCAAAGGAUAUGGCGGUGUUUUUAUAUAAUCAGGGGAACCUGUUUCUUAAUUCGAUAAUCCACGAAAGUUCAACCUUUUUCGAAUAUCAGCUUGUGUACUGCUGUCGUCAGUAAACCUAUAAAAGUAAGUUUACAAAUAAUACACUCUAUUUUACGUCAAGUCAAAGUGCAGCAUAUAAAAAGGAGUUAAUGGGUUACAAUCUCAAUAUAGAUUACGAAUAAACAAAAUAAAAAUGUUUUAAAGGUGGACUUGUAAGUAAUAUUAACAAAAAACAAAUAUAAAAAUUUCUAAAACAUGUACACAUCGCCCGUCACUCUCAUCUAAAGACG